Molecule: ribosomal RNA, 484 nt
Filed under: uncultured bacterium
Lineage: Bacteria
Description: partial 16S ribosomal RNA
Rfam family: Bacterial small subunit ribosomal RNA
Source: RNAcentral
AUUGAACGCUGGCGGCAGGCCUAACACAUGCAAGUCGAGCGGAUGAAGGGAGCUUGCUCCUGGAUUCAGCGGAGGACGGGUGAGUUAUGCCUAGGAAUCUUCCUGCUAGUGUGGGAUAACGUCCGGAAACGGGCGCUAAUACCGCAUACGUCCUGAGGGAGAAAGUGGGGGAUCUUCGGACCUCACGCUAUCAGAUGAGCCUAGGUCGGUUUAGCUAGUUGGUGGGGUAAAGGCCUACCAAGGCGACGAUCCGUAACUGGUCUGAGAGGAUGAUCAGUCACACGGGAACUGAGACACGGUCCAGACUCCUACGGGAGGCAGCAGUGGGGAAUAUUGGACGAGGGGCGAAAGCCUGAUACAGCCAUGCCGCGUGUGUGAAGAAGGUCUUCGGAUUGGAAAGCACUUUAAGUUGGGAGGAAGGGAAGUAAGUUAAUACCUUGAUGUUUUGACGUUACCAACAGAAUAAGCACCGGCUAACUUCGUG